Molecule: long non-coding RNA, 251 nt
Filed under: Numida meleagris (helmeted guineafowl)
Lineage: Eukaryota; Metazoa; Chordata; Aves; Galliformes; Numididae
Description: lncRNA (ENSNMEG00000018695.1)
Source: RNAcentral
UAGAAAGGACUGAAUGAUGCAUGUUAAAGAGGAAUAGAUAUGAAUCUCUAGUUCUUAAAAUGCAUACUGAUUCGUGUGGACUUGUGGGUUUAAGUCAUUCUUAAGGGAUGAAACAGAGUAAAGAGGAAACUGACUGACAUGGAGGAAAUAAGGCUGAAUGUAAAGAAUUGGAAAUCACUUGGAGAAGAGUUGGAUUUACGUUCUCCAACGGCUUCAUAUGCCUUCUACACAUCUGUAAGAUAAGAUCACAC